UACAGAGGUCCCAAGCGUUGUUCGGAUUCACUGGGCGUAAAGGGUGCGUAGGUGGUGAGGUAAGUCGGAUGUGAAAUCUCGGAGCUUAACUCCGAAACUGCAUUGGAAACUACCUUGCUCGAGGGUUGGAGGGGGGACUGGAAUUCUCGGUGUAGCAGUGAAAUGCGUAGAUAUCGAGAGGAACACCAGUGGCGAAGGCGAGUCCCUGGACAACUCCUGACACUGAGGUACGAAAGCGUGGGGAGCGAACAGG
Molecule: ribosomal RNA, 253 nt
Filed under: uncultured bacterium
Lineage: Bacteria
Description: partial 16S ribosomal RNA
Rfam family: Bacterial small subunit ribosomal RNA
Source: RNAcentral